RNAcentral lists this ribosomal RNA (569 nucleotides) under uncultured bacterium. RNAcentral's name for it is "partial 16S ribosomal RNA". It matches the Rfam family "Bacterial small subunit ribosomal RNA", at positions 355 to 914 of the family's 1533-position model. The record is from RNAcentral.
UGGGGAAUAUUGCACAAUGGGCGCAAGCCUGAUGCAGCCAUGCCGCGUGUGUGAAGAAGGCCUUCGGGUUGUAAAGCACUUUCAGCGAGGAGGAAGGUGGUGAGCUUAAUACGCUCAUCAAUUGACGUUACUCGCAGAAGAAGCACCGGCUAACUCCGUGCCAGCAGCCGCGGUAAUACGGAGGGUGCAAGCGUUAAUCGGAAUUACUGGGCGUAAAGCGCACGCAGGCGGUUUGUUAAGUCAGAUGUGAAAUCCCCGGGCUCAACCUGGGAACUGCAUUUGAAACUGGCAAGCUAGAGUCUCGUAGAGGGGGGUAGAAUUCCAGGUGUAGCGGUGAAAUGCGUAGAGAUCUGGAGGAAUACCGGUGGCGAAGGCGGCCCCCUGGACGAAGACUGACGCUCAGGUGCGAAAGCGUGGGGCAGCAAACAGGAUUAGAUACCCUGGUAGUCCACGCUGUAAACGAUGUCGAUUUGGAGGUUGUGCCCCUUGAGGCGUGGCUUCCGGAGCUAACGCGUUAAAUCGACCGCCUGGGGAGUACGGCCGCAAGGUUAAAACUCAAAGGAAUUGAC